Lutzomyia longipalpis is the source of this 5315-nucleotide RNA transcript. It is a transcript of the gene named palmitoyltransferase ZDHHC8, with no coding region annotated. NCBI's taxonomy places the organism in Eukaryota, Metazoa, Arthropoda, Insecta, Diptera, Psychodidae. The record is from RefSeq and is a predicted model, not a curated record. The transcript has 11 exons.
CACUGGGUGACUAGUUUCCACGAAUUGCUAAUGAAGUCGACGCGAAUGUUGUGAAAAAUCACUAAUUUUUCAAACUAUUUGUGGAGUUUUUUAAGUCUAUUUGGUGAUUGUGGCUUUCCUGGUGACUGUGGUGCAAGAAAGGACUCAUUAGCACAAUGCCGAAAUGCGAUCUCAAAACAAAAUACAUCCCGGCCGUGUUGGCUUGGGCGGUUUUAUUGAGCACAACUUUCGUGUUUUUCUACUAUCCUUGCCAGUACUAUGUGUCUCGAUUUCCGUGGGUGCCAGCUUAUCAGGGAGUCAUCACAUUCUUCGUGAUCGCCAACUUUACGCUGGCAUCAUUCAUGGAUCCGGGAGUGAUACCAAAAGCUCUUCCCGACGAAGACAGAGAGGAUGAAUUUCGUGCGCCACUCUACAAGAAUGCCGAUAUUAAUGGAAUCACCGUCCGGAUGAAGUGGUGUGUCACCUGUAAAUUCUACCGACCACCCAGAUGCUCUCAUUGUUCUGUGUGCAAUCAAUGUAUAGAGAAAAUGGAUCAUCACUGUCCAUGGGUCAAUUCGUGCAUAGGUCGCAGGAAUUACCGGUUUUUCUUCUUCUUCCUAAUAUCACUAUCCAUCCAUAUGUUGAGCAUCUUUACACUGUGUCUCAUUUUUGUACUGCACAAUAAGGAGAGACUGGCACAGGUGGAUGUGAUUGUUGCCCUCGUGCUUAUUGCCAUAAUCAUUGUGCUGGCAAUUCCUGUGUUUGGUCUCACGGGAUUUCACAUGGUGCUCGUAUCACGGGGACGGACAACUAAUGAACAAGUGACGGGGAAAUUUAAAGGUGGCUACAAUCCUUUCUCCCAAGGAUGCUGGCACAAUUGCUGCUAUACUCUCUGCGGACCUCAAUAUCCCAGCUUGAUGAAGCCGCACAAAUAUGCAGCGAGGCGAUCGAAUAAGGAGAAUCAGAUGAUCAGUACAAUAACGAGCGAUGGUCAGGCAAGAGGCGGUGGUGGUGGCCAGGGUGCUAGCGGCGCAGGAUCGCUGCAACAGCAACAGCAGCACCUCUAUGAGAGGGAUAAUCGACAUACACAGGUAAAAACCUAUACGGACCAUGGAAAUGGGCAUGGGAUGCGUUCUGGUGGAACUACACAGUACAGCAAGUUGUCACCCGGAAGGGAGUGCUCAGACACGGAUAUGGAGCCGCAGGCGUCACAAAGUCAAGAUUGCGAACCGACACCACCGCUACAGAGACACGGAUCCAAAAGCAAUUUCUUCCUUCCGCCCAUUGAUGGUGGGGAAUCCCCUCGACACAUUAGGAUGUAUCAUCCACGGCAUAGUCCCCAUCCCAGACAGAGGGGGCUUGAUCCAUCACGAGGCUAUACACCGGAUAGCUUGUCGCCGGAACAACAACCGGGACAGAUGAUGGCGGGGAUGCAAAUGCAACCGGUGAGUCAGCAACAGCAGCAGCAGCAGCAACAAAUGGGGCCACGAGGGACGUCUGCCACACCAACGAUGCAACAACGAAUAAAGGCAUUGGGGGUUGCAACCCCUUUAGCUAUGUCUAGUCCAGUGAGGAGAUCAAAUCCGGGUACACCAACCCAGCCCCGUCGUCCUGAUUUUAUCAGUGUGAAUUCCUCAAUGUCCAAUCAAGUGGGCGCCACAUACUAUGACUUCCCGAUGCAACAGCAGCCGCCACACCAUCAGAGUCUUCCGCCGCCGCCCGUGACGCAGCAGCAGUCCUAUCAGAUGGUCCAGCAGCACCACAAUAAUGGCCAAAUACGUGCACAGCCAGUAUAUGGGAGUCCACAGAGGAGAUUCCUCUCUGAGGGUGAGCUUGUGCGACAGGGGGCUGAGCUCUCAUAUGCUCGCACAAAUAAUACUGUGGAUAAUAUUCGCGAGUUGGCGGGAAGUCCACAAAGGGGAGUCUACAUGUGGAAGGAUACAAGUCCAGGGUAUGGCAACUCAUCGAAUCCACCUGGAUUCCCAGGUGUUCAGGCGACACAGAUGAAUAUGCUGAGGCAGCAACAGAGUAACCAGCAAAUGAUGCAAAUGGAGCAUCAUCGAUCGAAUCCAACAAGCCCGACGCAGCAGCAACAGAUGCAGUAUGCAUCUGGGCAGAGGUAUCCACAGACAAUGCCAAAUAACAUUCAACCCACUUCCGGUGGCUACCAUCCAGCACUACGGGGUGGUGUUCCUGUUUUCCCGCCACAGCCAUCGCCGCAGGUGAAGCGAAAAGCCACCCCAACGCGCCCAAUGUCCUUUGUGCGUGCCCUCGAGAUGACGGACGCCAUGGAGAUGGCCCAGAAUACGAGUGAUAUUCAGCAGCAGCAACCAAAUCAAAAUGCAAGUAGAAACAAUGGACCCAUCCCCCAUACGGGCAAUCAGCAGCGCUCAACAACACCCACACCCGAUCGCGCAAGUGUCUACGAUAUGAAUUAUGAGAUCUCUGUAUAACACAACGUACCGGGGCGAUCUUAUCACGGCACAACCACCAGCGUUCCCAGUGGCAGCCAAAUGCCAGCAUGUGAAUUCACGACAUUUGGCUACACUAAGAAGAAGUACUAAACAUCCUCGUCCCUUUCCCUUCUCGCAUCAACCAUUUAUGUGUGAAAACAAUGUGCACCUGUUGUUGACCUCCUAGAUAGAACCUUUAGGCAAUAUACAGUGUUUAAUUUUUUUUAAAUAAUAAUUUAUACAAUUUAGAUAAACAAAAAAAAAGAUAAAUGUAAAUGAUGGCAAAAUUGUAUAUGUAAUUAAUUAUAUAAUUUUUAUAAAAUCGGGAGAAUAUGUGGGUAAAUCGCGAAAAAUGCUAUAUAGGCAGAAGAUGAAGAAGAAAUUGUAGAUUAAUUGAAUAGUUUAAAAAAAAGAAAUAAUUCUGCAUUUAAAUGUGAAAAAAGGGAGAAAAUAAUUAUUAUAAAAAGAUGUAUUUAAGGUGGGAAAUUUUCUCAUAAAAAAGGGGAAUGAGAACUUCGAUAGAAAUUUAUUGUAUACCCACUUUGUGGAUUUUUUUUUGAAGAAUACUUUAUAUGAAGAAGAAGAAAAAGUAGGUAGAAAAUCACAGUGAAGAACAAUUUGUAGGAAAAUUAAUUUGCUGAUGAGAAGGUAAAGAAAAGUGAAGAAAACAAAAGGGGGUAAAAAUUAAACGUAUAGCAUUUUCGUGUUUGUUAACACUGAUUGUUUUAUAUGGAUUCGUGACUACUUAAUUAACACACUACAUGUGAAAGAGGAGAGAACGAAAAAUGUAAGCAAAAGAGCGUUAAAAAGUGAAGAAGGUUUUUAGUGAUUUUAUUUUUUUAGGGUGCAUAGGGGAAAGAAGGAAAAUUUUUAAUAAACCUAUUAAUAAUAUCUUUUUUUUUAAAAUAAUAUAUUAGUAUAAUCAAAUGACUGACAUCACAAUUUAUGUGACGAGUGUGAGGGAUUUUUUUUCUCUGAUAAAUAGGGAAUGAAGAAGUAAGAAUAUGGGUUAAAAAGGAAAUUGAGGAAAAUGCGAAUUUCUUAGAAUCCAAUACAUAAUACCGAAAAAUCACAUUUUUCUCUCAUACUAAUAGAGAAAAAAUAAAAUCAUUCUUCAUAGAACACGGUUCAGAUUGUUCUUUUUUUUUUAAUUUUCUUUAUUUGAACAAUAUUUUUAUUUUACAACAUAAAAAUAUUUUUUAGACGCUCAUAUAGAAUAUAAUAGAAUUUAUAUUUUCAUCAUUCCGUUAAUAAAAUGCAAAUUACAACUCUGAAAUUAAAAAAAAUACGGCAGCAACAUAAACACAACUAAAACUGUAAUGAAUUGAACGAAUUAAUAUUGAUAAAAACAAAGUAAAUUUAACAUGAUUUUAGAUAAGCUUUUUUAGUCAUUUUUUGACAAAAGCUUCUCUCGCAAAGGACUUAACUUUCAAGUCUAAAAGGGAAUGCAAAAUAGAUGAAAUAAAAUCGUAAAAAAUAACAGAAUUUUUUUCUUUGAUAAAAUAUUCGUUUUUGUAAAUAUACAUAUAUUAAAGAAAAAUUAAUUAAUUCCAUCCUUAAUUUCUUUAUUGAAUUCGUUCUUAAUGAAAUCAAUUAAAAUAUUGGAAAAAUUCUAAUUCUAAAAUAUUUCUCAUUGUUUUUUUUUUUCAAAUUAAAAAUAUUCUCUAACUAAAACAAAAAGAACUAAAAAGCAUACAAAGCUUGAAUCUUUGAAUGCUUUUUAGUUAAAAUUUUUCUAGUCUUAUUCUUUGAGAUGAUGUUAAAGUGGAUGAUGAAUGUGGUUAUUUUAUGUCACUAAAAAAAUUAAUUUGUUUGUAAUAUUAUAUCUUAUGAUUUUGUUGAAAAAUAAAGAAACAAAAGGUAAAACAGAUACAGACCUCAUUAAAAAUAUAUUCCUUAUCCGCCCUCCAAAGUUAGAAAAUCUAUAUAGGCAUUCACAUAAUUGAUAUUUUUCAUUUUUUAUUCUUUUGUUGUUACAAAGAUUUAUUUUCUUUUGUGUAAAUAAAAAAAAAUCACACGAGCACUAAUAAAAAAGUAUAUUAGGAUUUAUAUAAAAUUAAAAGUGACUUUAAGUGGAAAUAACAUUAAAAAAAAAUUAUAGAGAAUAGUUGAAAAUUUUUCUCGUGAAUUUUUGUUGUUUGUUGUGCUUCAAAAUGAGAAAAAGGGAAAUAUUGUUAAAGAGAAGAUUUCGCAAGAAAAAGAAAAAUAAGAAAUGCGAGAAUAUUCACUGCCACUUUGUGUGUUUGGAAGAAGAAGAAGAACAAGAAUGUGUAAUGGAGAUGAAAAUGUAAUCACGUGAGGAAAAGGCAAAGAGUAGAGUCAGACAAAAUCGUAAAUCAUUGCGCCCAAAAAAUUCUCCCAAUUUCUGCCAACACACAAAAUGUGAAAAAAAAUGUAAAAGAAACCAAGAAAAAAAUUCAUGAAAAUAAAUGUACAAGUUAAGCAAAUUGAAGUCUUAGUAAAUCAUUAAUUUUUUCCAUCCCAAACAGAGUACACGACUAACUAAAUGGAUUUAUUAAACAAAAAAAAAUAUAAAAGGAAUAAACUUAGAAAUUAAAGUCAUUUUAUGAAUCAUCUCAUGAAUAUUCUCUUGUAAAUAUUUUUCCCAAAACUAAAUGUUAUUUUCCACACAAAAAAAAUCUCCUUUUUUGUAUAAAGAUGAAAUCAUUAUAAAGAAUAUACAAUAUACAUUAUAGGAUAUUUAUUGAAAGAAAAUUUCAUUGAAAUACACCGAAAGGGAGUGGAUAAGAUUUAUGAUUAUAAUAUUAAAAAGAAAGAAAAAGAAAAUGAAAACACAACCCCAAUUUUAAACAAUUUUCACAAAAAAAAAUCAUUAACUAAGUGUAAAUUAACAUUUCAAUAAAUCAUUGAUGAAAAGAUCUA